This 299-nucleotide unclassified non-coding RNA is filed under the name plant metagenome. RNAcentral's name for it is "partial contains 5.8S ribosomal RNA, internal transcribed spacer 2, and large subunit ribosomal RNA". The stretch from base 1 to 104 matches the Rfam family "5.8S ribosomal RNA", at positions 51 to 154 of the family's 154-position model. The record is from RNAcentral.
AAAUGCGAUAAGUAAUGUGAAUUGCAGAAUUCAGUGAAUCAUCGAAUCUUUGAACGCACAUUGCGCCCCCUGGUAUUCCGGGGGGCAUGCCUGUUCGAGCGUCAUUUCACCACUCAAGCCUCGCUUGGUAUUGGGCGACGCGGUCCGCCGCGCGCCUCAAAUCGACCGGCUGGGUCUUUCGUCCCCUCAGCGUUGUGGAAACUAUUCGCUAAAGGGUGCCGCGGGAGGCCACGCCGUAAAACAACCCCAUUUCUAAGGUUGACCUCGGAUCAGGUAGGGAUACCCGCUGAACUUAAGCA